Mobula hypostoma (lesser devil ray) is the source of this 336-nucleotide long non-coding RNA. RefSeq lists it as uncharacterized. The transcript has 3 exons. Lineage: Eukaryota; Metazoa; Chordata; Chondrichthyes; Myliobatiformes; Myliobatidae. The record is from RefSeq and is a predicted model, not a curated record.
GUUGCCAGGGUGAUGGUGAAGCAGAUUACGAGUGAACGGGUCAAGUCGGCAGCAGCGAACAAAGUGGCCAGCGGCAACGUCCUGCUGACAGUCCACAAAACUACUUCUUCUACAUCUUCCUCCAUCAAAUAUGAUUCUGCUACUAGGCUGCGUGUGAUUGGAACCUGAGAUUUACAGUCUUUAAAUGCCCCUGCAAUGGGAUGAAGAUUGUGACCAGCCACCUUACCUGCAUCCCUGAAGAUUCUGUAUACCACGUGAACUGUUGCGAAGUAAGUUUCGAACCCAUCUAUCAACUCUGGCCCACAGAUCUGGCGGUUGACAUCGGAAAGACGAGGA